AUGAAUGUGGGCUCUCACUAAAAACCAGGGGUUUCGUGCAUGACGUAUUUUUGGGGGCGGAGUUGUGGGAAGGCUGUUGUCGUAAGGGGAGGGACUUGAAUAGGGUCAAGGAGCAUGCGCAGAGAGGAACCCGCACAAUUCAAAAGGCCGGUGUGAAUCUGCUGCCGAAAAAAGAAACCGCUGGAGCAAGAAAGCAUUUCCUUAAUGGCCGAACAAAGCGGUGUUGAUUUGGUUUGCAGAAGGCAUGCUGGAAGAUCAGAAUUUCCAUUUUUCAAGCACAGAAGAUGCAGUCAAAGAACUCAAGAAAGGAGAUUGCAGUAAAACGUCUACAGGAAUCAGAAGAUUUGUCUGAUGUCUGCAGACUCUGUGGGGAAGCCACUACACAGGAUUCUGUGGACACUGCUACUGCUUCUAAAUGGAUUGCCUGUGACUGAUGCAACAAGUGGUUCCACCAUUCAUGUGUCGGAAACUCACCUGAAGAGGAGGAGUUCCUUUGCCCUUUGUGCAAGAUAGACAGCCCCUACCAACUAACUCAUCUGCUGACCCUGCUUUUAAAUGUCAUUGCUACCACUGUUUUCCAACAACUCUAAUCAGACUUCUUUUUCAUUUUAUGUUAAAAACAAAAAACACACCUUAAAAAUGUAUGUUAUAACUUUAUUGUAGACUUGAGGUUCACCUGAGGUUGUUUAUUUUUUAAAGACAAUACCUUUUAUAGUUUCCAUCAAUUACAGUUUGCCAAUUCAACUAUUUACUUUGACACAGCACAUGCUAACCCUCACUUGCUGAGACUAAAGAAUGUAAAUGAACUUUGUGCCCUUUUUAGAUAGAAAAAGCUGGAAAAUAUGUUCCGCAACGAAACUACAUUUAGGUCAAUAUAAUGUUCUCUUUUUGUAUACUUCAGAAUUUAAUACAUUUGCUAUUUGAGUUUAGAAACAAUAUGCUCAUAAACAUACUUUUAUUGUUAACAUUGUUUUCAUGCCGUAUAUCUAGAUUGUAUUAAAUCCCAUACAUCUGACACAGAGGCAAACUAUGUUCUGAUUCAGGAUAACUGUAGUCCCAGUGUAAAGAGUUAUUGCAUGAAAAAAUAAUUAUAUAAAACAAUGAAAGUAUAUCCAAUAAAAAAAAAAAAAAUAAAUAAAUUU
Molecule: long non-coding RNA, 1142 nt
Organism: Astyanax mexicanus (Mexican tetra)
Lineage: Eukaryota; Metazoa; Chordata; Actinopteri; Characiformes; Acestrorhamphidae
Exons: 5
Source: RefSeq, a predicted model, not a curated record